ACGGCCAAAGAGAAACUAAAAGAAUGCUUCGUGGUAUAUGCUACUACUGCCGUGGGACUAGUCGACUAGAGCUAGACGAACAAAUAAGCGAUGCGGUUAUUCUCUUCGUUGAACGCAAUAUCAGAUACCCUAGAUAAGCAUAUGAUCCUUACCAAUCUCAGUUAAACAAUGCAAGCACAAAUGCUUUGCUUUGCUAUCUGAUUUUACUUCUGAUAGCAUUUGCCGGACUUGUUUUGUCCUCUCCAAGAAGAACCC
This 255-nucleotide long non-coding RNA is filed under the name Sorghum bicolor (sorghum). RNAcentral describes it as "long non-coding RNA (SBIC_LNC003519)". Lineage: Eukaryota; Viridiplantae; Streptophyta; Magnoliopsida; Poales; Poaceae. The record is from RNAcentral.